RNAcentral lists this ribosomal RNA (461 nucleotides) under uncultured bacterium. RNAcentral describes it as "partial 16S ribosomal RNA". It matches the Rfam family "Bacterial small subunit ribosomal RNA", at positions 338 to 795 of the family's 1533-position model. The record is from RNAcentral.
CCUAUCGGGUGGCAGCAGUGAGGAACAUUGGUCAAUGGGCGCGAGCCUGAACCAGCCAAGUAGCGUGAAGGAUGACUGCCCUACGGGUUGUAAACUUCUUUUAUAAAGGAAUAAAGUGAGGCACGUGUGCCUUUUUGUACGUACUUGAGGAAGAAGGAACGGCUAACUCCGUGCCAGCAGCCGCGGUAAUACGGAGGAUCCGAGCGUUAUCCGGAUUUAUUGGGUUUAAAGGGAUCGUACGUGGGUUGUUAAGUCAGUUGUGAAAGGUUGCGGCUCCACCGUAAAAUUGCAAUUGAUACUGGCAGUCUUGCGUACAGUUGAGCUAGUCGGAAUUCGUGGUGUAGCGGUGAAAUGCUUAGAUAUCACGAAGAACUCCGAUUGCGCAGGCAGCAUACCGGCGCUCAACUGACGCUGUGGCACGAAAGCGUGGGGAUCGAACAGGAUUAGAUACCCCUGUAGUC